Molecule: long non-coding RNA, 8879 nt
Organism: Pangasianodon hypophthalmus (striped catfish)
Lineage: Eukaryota; Metazoa; Chordata; Actinopteri; Siluriformes; Pangasiidae
Exons: 4
Source: RefSeq, a predicted model, not a curated record
UUGCAGGUUAUGUGACUGUUUUUUGUUUUUUGUUUUUUUAGUUUUUUUAAAUAUGAAAAUUUCAUCAUUUCACAUUGUCAGUUAUUUCAUAUUAUACCACUGUAAUUUUCUGUAACAGCAGCUCUGACAGUUGUUCUGGCUACAAAGUGAAUCAUGCUAUAAAAAUACAUUAUUGUUUCUAUGGUAACAAUGAAUUCAUCAUUUAUGGAAGGAGUCUCCAGUGUUAGCAGUUUGUAACAGUUUGUAAAAGCCAUCUCUUUAGGUUUUCAGGCAUUUUUUGUUUUAUCACCUUAAAGAAUAAGUGAUGGAACCUAUAUAUAUAUAGCUGCUAUUUACCUCCUCUUUGUGCAAGGUCACAUUACACCAUCAUGUCGUUGAUUAUUUUCCUAUAACAGCACAGCUCUAAGUGUUUUAUUCCUUACAUAUUUGGUGUGUGAUCACUGAAAAUAAGGUCUUAACACCUAGUUAGCUAUAAUAGUGUUCCCUUGACUAUUUUAAAAUGUUUUUUGAAUGGUUAAAUCAUACAUUGCAGGAAUGUUUUUAUUACUGAUGUUUUCCUUCUUGCAAUUUCUAACGUUAUCUCAAAUCAUUUGUUGGAAAUUGAUUCCUGUUUAGAAGAGUCCAGAAAAAAAGAGCCCAAGACUUAUACAGUCUCUCUUUACAUAUAUUAAAAUAAUAUCAAAUAAAAUAUGUAAAAAUGAUGUAGCCUUGUCCAUUUUUCUUCAGGCACAGGCACAAUGAUAUUGGCUGGAACAAAGCCGGUAUCACUCAGCACUUCAUUCGAACUCUGCAAUUUUUUUUUUUUUUUUUUUUUAGGUUGGCAGUGUAUAAUGGGCCUAAGAGGCAGAGGAACCAAGAAAGAAGCCCGAAAAUUUCACAUCGACGCCUAUAAUCCGGAGCUAUCUCCCGAUGAGCGAGGGAGAAAGAGAGAGAGAGAGAGAGAGAGAUGGAGGAAGAGAGGACGAGGGAGAUAGUGAGGGAUGGAGAGAGACUUGACGAGACACUCCGAGAAUAACACUUUACAUUUUGUCGCCGUUUCCGAAUCUCGGAUCUCUGACUGUGCCACACAACCUCUACAGCCACCAUUUUUCCUCUGGUUCUUUUUAAUUGAAUGUGGACCAGGCACCUCGGACGGAAAAAGACACCCUUUUUUUUUUUUCUGGAGCAAGCGCUGUUGCAUCCAAUUACAGAUAGGGAGAGGAGGGGGGCUAGCUAAAGCCCAGGAAGAGUUUAUGACCCUUUCCACACAUCUGGGAUGAAAAGCAGGCUGUUUUUUUUUUUUUUUCAAGCUUGAGGAGAGGCACAGGCAUGUCUGCGAGAAAAGAAGUGGAGAAAACAGCUUUUUUUUUUUUUUGAGGCUUGCUGGGCUGUCUUGACGGCGGCGAAGCAAGUUAACGACAUGCAAAUGAAAUGCGAGUACGCCGUAUCUUCACUCCACGGCCUAAUGAGAAAUUCCGGGAUUUUUCCAGCACACAAACAGAGGAAACCCCCCCCACACCAUAACUACAAAACGUCUGGAUGUCUGUAGGGUGCUUUAAAAAACACCAUUUGCCUGCAACAAGCCGAUUUGGAACAGUGCCACCGAUAAAAAUGUGUCUUGCCAGACCAGACCCAUAAAAAGAGACAUUUAAAUUCUCCCGAGGUUACGUAUUGGGCAUAAAUGAGCAACUCCAGUCCACAGUAAUCAGUUCCACAGGCUCGGCUGCAUUAGAAGAUUCAGUGAGGUCAUCGAGUGUGUAACGCGGCUGGCGAGCACCGCGCAUCUUUGCAAAUGUGACCACAAUGAGUCAGGGCGAAGCAGCAGCGGAGAAAACAUGGAGCUGGAGUCUGGAACGAAAAAGGGAAGAAAAUACAGCAGUGUGAUGAUGAUGAUGAUGAUGAUGAUAACGGGGGUUACAAGGUUUAAAUAGAGAAGGAGGGAGGGAGGUAAGGUAUGUAUGUGUGUGUGUGUGUGUGUGUGUGUGUGUGAAGUGGCCAGUGUGAGAUUAUAAAACAAAGCCUGACCUAAACUGGCCUGACUGUAGUAGAUUUUUCAAUACUGACUGCUGGACGUGAUCAAUACAGUAAAGGUGUGUAAUAAAAUAUAAUAUUUUAAUAUAAUAAUUUCCAUAUUUAUUUUUAACAAAUGAAAUAAGAAAUGUAAAACGGUCUAAUUCUAUACUGUAUAUAAACCAUAUUCUAUGUCUCUCCUCAUGCCAAAUCCCCAUAAACAGUCAUUUCUCGAAGACCCAUGGAUAAAUAACACAUCAGCUGGACCUGAAGAAAGGAUCAGACAGACGUUUCUCCAUUUUCCCAGCGACGCCAGUUGUGUUUUCCAUAACUGAGUGGAACACGUGGUGAUAAAUACCGACCCAGUGUGUUUCUUUUCUUGAGUCUUCCUGCAGUUCUGCUUUUGUCUGAGUGACGGAGGCAUACAUUGUUGACAGUCGUGCCCCAGGCCAAGCCUGCAGAGCCUCUCAUGUCUCUUUGCGGGGCCUCCGUGAUCCCCCCCGCCCCCAUUCCUUUACGCACACACACACACAUACACACACGCACGCACACAGCAUGUGUACAAACUACAGACACAGGGAGGUACAAAGGGCCAGGGCUUCGUUCUUUAGUUUUUCUCUUUAGUGGAGAAGCAUGGCUUCCAUUAUUCUCCCCCCACCAACCAGAAAAACCUUGCAUUUCUGUGAGUGUGUGUGUGUGCUUUAUUUCAUUCAUAAAUCCUGCUUUACAUACACGCAAAACAUUUUUUUCCAUAGAAGACAUAUCUCAAACUCUUUGGCACUUGCACACAAAGUCACUAGUACACUCACUCACCAGUUCUUCCACUGGCAAAUCUGUACUAGCAACUUCAGGCCUUUUUUUUUUCUUUUUUGAAGUCUCUCUCCGCGUGAUGCUGUCAACGGCUAACCAAAUCUUGCCACGGAUCCAUGCAAAUUGUGCAUCAAGGGGUGUCUCGGUUUACCGAGUAAAACAGGCGUGUAUUAAGAGCAUGCCUUGCGUGUGUUAAGAGGCGUACUCUCAAUGGAAUGUGGAAGGGAAAGAAGCCAUUGAGAAGAAAAGCGAGACGUCUCUGUGGAGAGAGAGAGAAAGAGAAAGAGAGAGGAAGAGAAAGACAGAGAGAGCAUGGAUAAACCAAACCGUCUGCUCUUAUACGUAGAUGAUGUUAACUCCACUUACAAAGUCUCGGUUGAUCUGUAUAAAGAUGUCCAGGAAUAAUAAGAUUUAGCCCAAUUAGAAAACAUGUUGUGGUGUGUGUGUGAGAGAGAAAGAGAGAGAGAGAGAGAGAGAGAGAAAGAGAGAGAGAGAAUGAGAGCAUGGGAAAUCAAACAGAUCUCAUCAUCUAGACGGUGUUAAUCUCAGACAUAAAGUCCUGCUUGAUCUGUUUUAAGAUGUGCAGUCUUGCAUAUAGUGACAGUGCCAUUAGCCCGGGGAGGAAUAAUGAGAUUUAGCUCAAUUAGAAGACAUUAUAAGGUGUAGCGAGAGAGAGAGAGAAACAGAAAGUGAAGGAUAGCAAGUGAGUGAAAGAAUAGGUAUGUUUUCAUCCAAAUGUUUUGCAAAUAUUAAGCAAAUUUCUGGAAAGACUGGCAGGAAUCGUUGCAUUUCCAUGAAUUACUGGUUAAUAGAAGCGAGCCCAACAAAGUGACGUAAUAAAAUGAGCAAGAGCAAAACAUGUGUCAUGGAGAAUGUUCCCUCAAGCAAGCACACACACACACACACACACACACACACAUAUAUAUAUAUAUAUAUAUAUAUAUAUAUAUAUAUAUAUAUAUAUAUAUAUGUGGGUGUUUUACAUUUUUCAUGUUUCUUUGGUGGGGCAGGAAUUCUAAAUUCACAUAAAUCAGGUGGAGAGAAACAACACUAACACAAGGGGAAACUUGUACAACCCCAGACCUCCUGAUCCUUCACCUGAACACACCAGUGCAUCCGACAGGCGCCAUUUGACAAACAACAGGUUCCUUCAGGACUAUGGAAGGUGCAUUGCUGAUACCACCCACAAAGCAGGAGCUGCGGUCCCCACCAUUGGGUUAAAUGCAGAAGCUACGCUGAGUCAAGCAAAAAAAAAAAACCCUAGCUCCCUUGAGCACCCAAGAAGAAAUGUCUUUACAAAUUGAUUUAUGUAUUACCAACCUCGCCAGUGGCCUCUGAACCAUCCAUUAAGAUACCACACACUGCAGCCACUAAGCCGACAGAACAGGAGGAGAAACCUUUCAGUGGUGGGGGGGACGGCUAGGGGAAGUGGUACAGGAAGCUUAGCUAGUCAAUUCAAAUCCAGAUCUCUCAAUCUCUGGAUGACUAAAACUAUAAAAUUAGAUCUGUUUCCAAGUGGUGCAACAGAAACGCAUUCACCCUAUUGUCAGGAGAUCACUGAUGCCGAAUCCAUGGCUGGAAAUCCAAGAGAGCAAAAUUGGCUGUGCUGUUUGAGUGGGAGGGAUGACAUGAUCUCUCCCCUGUCAAUCAGAGCAACAUUAACCAAUCAUGGGUGUCUGUGUGGUUUAGAGGGAUGCUAGCGCUGUCCUCCAAUGUGUAUAGCUACCGUGUUGCGUCAGCAACAGUUCAAACAGAUAGAGGGAGGAAGGAGGAUUAGAAGGCGCUUUACCCUUUACCCUCACUGAUUGGUAGCUGUUGUGGUUACUGGAAUAUGAAUAAAUUGGUAGAAAAUGGAGUAAAACAGGUUACAAAAAAAAAAGAACAGAACUGCAUCCAAUGAAAAGACAUAAGCCAGCCUUAACUAGUUCAAGUUUUAUCACACACUAUCCAAUAAAUCAAUCUAGCUUCCUGUAUCAAAGCACUCAGCUUUGCUGUGUCUCCCUCUGUUUGAGAAGCGGAGAGCAUGAAUACUGCGGAUAAGUUCAGAGCUAGUUCUGCAUACAAAGAACCCUCAUAAUUGAGAGAGAGAGAGCACAGUCUCAUGAAUGCAAAUUUGUAAUAACUCACACUAUUGUAAAAGUUUCACUUAAGAUUUGAGUCAUUUCAGCCUCCCAUUUUUGUACACCUUUCUAGCUUCAGAAUCUUUAGAGUUUAAGCAUUAUGAUUGGUUCUCCAUACUUCCAUAUGCUGGUUUCCAGUGUGAAAACACUGCAACACAAUAAGCUUUUCAAAGCAAGAUCUAACGACUGGACUGAAAAAUAUUCCCAUUUUUAAAAGAAUUAUGAAGUUUGAAGCACUAAGUGAUGAAUACACAGGAUAAUCUAGUGUGUUUUCCAACAGGCUAUGGGACGAGGUCUGUGGUUGGUCAGCUGCCACGUCAGUCAAAUUGUGUCUUUCUGUGAAAGUAGUUGGAUCUUGGCCACAUUUAUUAAGCAAACGUACCAUACUCUCUAGCUAGAAGUCUGGCUUGUGAGACUAAAGUAAGGGUGAGUGGAGGAACUUAGCAGUCAUAGCCUUUAUUAUGAGCUUCAUUUGAUUAAGAGCAUACUCUGCUUACUGCCUCCUUAUUAAAGCUCUCAGUAUCUAAUAACUAAUAAACAGAAUGUCAACACUAUAAGAUUGGCUAUUGAGGAAAGUUAAGGAAACCACAAUGUCUUUUAGCUAGAAAUCUGAACAAGACCACAUACAUACGUGGCACCAGUAGACCCCAGAAAAAAAAAAGAAAUGGCUGGGUGCAAAGUGAACCCAGAAGUACCGGAUCAUCAAGUCAAACCUUUGCCCCGUAAGCCCUACUUGCUUUGCUGGGUUCUUCUGCCAAGGCAGAGGUCUUGGGUUGGGACUCCACACUGACUCCACAUAUGAUGCUUAUUAAGGCCCAGUUGGAGCCCGUGGCUCUUAACCAAAUGGUGUGGGGAAUUCUGGGAACACAGGGCUGACUUAAGUGUUAAUAGAGACCGUUCCAGCACCAGCAGCAGCAUUCCAAAGUAGGCGUAUCCAUAAAAAAGUGACAAUGAAGGGGCUGGAGGGUUCCUUGGAGUUGGGAUUAUAUGCAAUACCAAGACUUUUUGUAAGAAGCAGCAUACUCUGGCUUCUACAACGUCAUUCACUAUUUCCUUGCUGUCUAUAAAAGAUCUUUAUUUUUUAAUAUUUCUUUCCCAAAAGUGUUUCUUCUUCACACAUUCUUGAGGCCUCCUUCAUUUCUGACUGAACCUGGACCUUUGUAGCUGUGAUGUGAUACAGUUCACUGUAAAUAGCUCUGAAGGAAAUAAAAUUGAUUUGAAUUGAGCUGAGCCAAAUUCUGCGUCAUGGUGUAGCCUCUAAAAUUUCCUUACUGUCUGUGAGCUUGUCAUGCGGUUAAGUUGAGAAGUGCCCUUUGAAUAUAUUGUUAAUCUACAGAUAGUUUAUGUCUUAAUAAGUUGUCUGGACACAACAAGCCACCAGAACAGCUUCAAUGCACCUUAUGAACACCUUAUGAACGAUGAAUGCCGUUCUUCUAAAACGGCUGGUGUCUUGAUGAUGGGCAUGAAAAGCUUCCAUAUGUGUUCAGCUGAGUUGAGAUCUGGUAAGUGGGAAGGCUAUAUAUAUAGAUUUACAUCAUUUUUAUCCUGAUCAAAAAAAUUCACUGAGCCCUCAUGCCCUUGCAAAGGAUAAAAGAACCCAAACCAUGCCAGCCAAAUACAUUUCCAUUUAAAUAAAUUCCGUAUUAAUUAGUUAAAAAGUUACGGAACACAAAGCACUGCUUAAUAUUAUUGGCAUAGGAAAGACGUUUAAUGUAGUCCAGUCCACAUUUUUUAUUUUGUCCGAACAAACACACUUGGGUCAGGCUGUCAAGGUGUGUUAGGAGUUGGAACAGAAUGAAAAUGUGAACUGGUAAUUUAUCUGACUGGAUUGGGAUCCCAUGUUCCAUGUAAACAUACCCAGCUGAUCUAGGAAGUAUUAUCUAUUUUAAAUUAGCCAAAUUAACAUAACACUGCUAGAAUAUUUUUAAAGAUGAACUGGUAAUACUUGAGGAUUUUUAGCAUUGUAGAAGACUUAUAUUUUUGACCUAGCAAUGGUGAAAAUGUGAAUUAGCAACAUGCCCUAGCUAUUAUUACACAUUCAAUAUGACAUAAGGCUGUGCUUGUGAUAUUUAAGACUCAGGUUUCAUUAAUCGAAUGUAAAGUUUACUGCCAUUCUCUGACUUCCUGUUUUUUUCUUCUGUCAGGUAUUUACAAUCCAAAUGGCACCUCCUCUGCAAUCGCUUUUGUUUAAAGUUGCUGACUUAAUUUAUGGAUGGUAAACAGUGACAAAGUGGAGUUCCUGCAAGGUUCAGCUGGAAGAAAACGACAGCGGAUGACAGCAAUUGUCUGGCUUAAAUCUUCAUCUAAACCGCAGUGAUUGACCAGCGUCCCCAUGCCAACGAGGAUCGCAUUAUAGCUGUAAUCCAUUUUUGCAGAUGUAAAGUGGACAUCUGCAGCUGAUGCACUGCGAGACAGACAGAGGCACAGCGUAAUGUCUAAGGAUAUCUAGAUUUCACUGCUCACUUCAGACUGAGACCAAACAAACCUUUACUUGAGGAAAAGACUCCACUUCUGGUUUGCUUUGAAAAGACACACAGCUUAUGCUGCCAUUGUUCAGUAGUUUAGGUCCUUUGACAGGAAGUUCAAUUUAUCUAGGCCUUAAAAACCUAGCCUAUGUUUGAGGUUUUCCCCACCAUUCUCUGUGUUUUCAAGCUUCUAAUUAUAAUAAAUAUAAGCAGCCAUUAAUUAGCCAUGGUCUCUGUAUGGAAGGGAUAGCAGUACUUCCUCCCCUGUCAAUCUGUGUGACAUUGACUAAUCAUGGGUGUCUCUGAGCUCAGGUAUGUGAAAGAGGGCAGACUACACUUUCGUCCAGCUGUGUGCAGCUGCCCUGUGAUGAUCAAAAAGAUAUGGGUGCCUGCUUCUUGGAGAUACUGUGGAAGAACAUUAGUUGCUGCUGAGCAACUGCCGAGAGCUAGCUAGUGGGUGGCAAAUGUUAAAUGGCCAAAUUAGCAGAAAAAAAGACAAAAAAAGGGCAAUCAUGCGUACGAAAUAGUAACAUUUCCUAUGUAAAUGUCAGCAGAAUUUGGGGUGGGACACUGUAUGGUUUAAUAUUCUGUCAAGGAAUAUAUCAUUAAUCCAAGGUAAAGCCAUUACUUCAUUCUCUAUGUAAAUAUAUUAGCCAUUUGUGAUUCAGCAAAACAUAAUGUCUUUGCCAAACCAAAAGUUGGAAGACUGAGCGCAAAACAGCCUGCAAAACGUACUUAUCAGGUUCUAACAGCUAGGACAGGGGUGUGACCCAAAGAUUUGAAAUUUCCCUCCUCUGACACACUGGAUUAAACUGAUCCUGAUCAGGGUCUUUGUCGAUCCAAAGCCUAUCCUGGGAAUGGGAAUCUGGAUGGGAUGCCAGAUCAUCACACAUUCGCACACUCAGGGAGUUUUCUGGGAGCUAGAGAAAACCAGAGAACCUGGAGGAAACCCACAAGAACAAUGAAGAACAUGUGAAAUAUAUAGACAGUAACUUAAGCUAAGCAUCAAACCAGGAACCCUGGAGCUCUGAGGCAGCAACCAUAUACGUAUACCAUAUACAUUGCCAUAUACGUGCUCUAGACAACAUUAAGCUACAUAAUCACACUUUAAAAUAAGGUAAAACUCAUUUUUUUGUUUAAAAAAAGUUUAGGUAGUCUGUAUUUAUGUAUUUGACUGGAACUAUAAUUAUCAUCUGUAUCACUUCCCGCUUUACAACACAGUUCCACUUUUAAAUGUUGGGGGGUUGAGUCUAGUAGGUCCAGUAAUUCUAAACUACACUACGUUAAAAAAAAAAAAAAAAAAAAAAAGGGAUUUUGGUUGUCCAAGAUGGCUGCCCUAAAAUAUAAUUGUAUAUUUUUAAAAAUUUUAAAUAUUAUAUUUUUAAAAUAUAAUUGGUGAAAUUCUGCUCAUGUUUAUAAGUAAUACUCUGUGACUUUAAUUUACAGCUAGCUAUGUUAGCCUUGUAGCACCAAUGCAAAAAUAAAGAAGUAAACG